CGGUAAUUCCAGCUCCAAUAGCGUAUAUUAAAGUUGUUGCUGUUAAAAAGCUCGUAGUUGAACUUCUGACAGCGAGCAGGUUUGGCUUUGGCCAGCCUGUUCGUUGUCAUCCGUCUGCAAACCUUGUACGUCCUUCAGUGGUUCGGCAAGGGGAGUAGACAAUUUACUUUGAAAAAAUUAGAGUGUUCAAAGCAGGUAUUAGCCUGAAUACUUUAGCAUGGAAUAAUGGAAUACGACUCUUGUCUAUUUAUGUUGGUUAUUAGACUUGAGUAAUGAUUAAUAGGGACAGUUGAAGGCAUUGGUACUUAAUUGUCAGAGGUGAAAUUCAUGGAUUUAUUAAAGACUAACUAAUGCGAAAGCAUUUGCCAAGGAUGUUUUCAUUAAUCAAGAACGAAAGUUCGAGGAUAGACAGCGAUCAGACACCACUUUAUUUCGAACUAUAAACUAUACCGAUUUGAGAUAGCCAAUUU
Molecule: ribosomal RNA, 470 nt
Filed under: uncultured eukaryote
Lineage: Eukaryota
Description: bacterial SSU rRNA
Rfam family: Eukaryotic small subunit ribosomal RNA
Source: RNAcentral